Long non-coding RNA from Eptesicus fuscus (big brown bat), 437 nucleotides. RefSeq lists it as uncharacterized. The record is from RefSeq and is a predicted model, not a curated record. Lineage: Eukaryota; Metazoa; Chordata; Mammalia; Chiroptera; Vespertilionidae. The transcript is spliced from 2 exons.
UAAACCACUACCUUGGCCAAACAAAAUCAGAAGGCCAAAUGAAGUGAAGGGAGAGAAGAAGAAAAGAACAGAAAGGUAAAGGGAGGUGGAAGAAACAUGUCAUGAAGGGCUUUGUGGGCCCCGAGUGAAAUUCGAACCAUAGGAUUUUUGAAUGGAGAAGUACCCGUAGAGCCAAGAGAAUUUCCAGACAAGUUGGAUAUGGGAAUGUACCAACGUUAAGUUGUUGAGAAUAACUCCAAGGAUUUGGGCAUGAGCAGCCAGGAGGCUGGAGUCGCCAUCAUCAGAGAUGGGAAAAGCUAAGUGGACCACCUUGUGGGGAGAUUUUAAUGAGGCUAUUGGCCAUCCGAGUGAAGAUGUUGAGUUUGCAAUUCAUAGGGGAGCCUGGAAUUUGGGAGAUAUGAAUUUGAGAGGUGACAUAUAAAGGGGCAUUUCGGGCA